RNAcentral lists this ribosomal RNA (243 nucleotides) under uncultured bacterium. RNAcentral's name for it is "partial small subunit ribosomal RNA". It matches the Rfam family "Bacterial small subunit ribosomal RNA", at positions 26 to 285 of the family's 1533-position model. The record is from RNAcentral.
AGAAUCAACGCUGGCGGCGUGCCUAACACAUGCAAGUCGAACGAGAAAGUGGAGCAAUCCAUGAGUACAGUGGCGUACGGGUGAGUAACACGUGACUAACCUACCCUCGAGUGGGGAAUAACCUCGGGAAACCGGGCUAAUACCGCAUAACAUCUUCGGAUCAAAUGCGUAAGCAGCUUGAGGAGGGGUCGCGGCCGAUUAGCUAGUUGGCGGGGUAAUGGCCCACCAAGGCAAUGAUCGGUA